AGCAGCCGCGGUAAUUCCAGCUCCAAUAGCGUAUAUUAAAGUUGUUGCAGUUAAAAAGCUCGUAGUUGAAUUUCGGGGUCAGCAGGUUGGUCGUGCCAAUGGUAUGAACUGGCCUUGCUGAUUCCUCCCUCUUGAUGAGCCGUAAUGCCAUUAAUUUGGUGUUGCGGGGAAUCAGGACUGUUACUUUGAAAAAUUAGAGUGUUUAAAGCAGGCAAGCGCUUGAAUACAUUAGCAUGGAAUAAUGAAAUAGGACGUUCGAUCCUAUUUUGUUGGUUUCUAGGAUUGACGUAAUGAUUAAUAGGGAUAGUUGGGGGCAUUAGUAUUCAAUUGUCAGAGGUGAAAUUCUUGGAUUUAUUGAAGACUAACUACUGCGAAAGCAUUUGCCAAGGAUGUUUUCAUUAAUCAAGAACGAAAGUUAGGGGAUCGAAGACGAUCAGAUACCGUCGUAGUCUUAACCAUAAACUAUGCCGACUAGGGAUCGGAUGAUGUUUAAUUUUUAAUGACUCU
Molecule: ribosomal RNA, 507 nt
Filed under: uncultured Glomus
Lineage: Eukaryota; Fungi; Glomeromycota; Glomeromycetes; Glomerales; Glomeraceae
Description: SSU rRNA
Rfam family: Eukaryotic small subunit ribosomal RNA
Source: RNAcentral